GUGGGGAAUAUUGGACAAUGGGCGAAAGCCUGAUCCAGCCAUGUCGCGUGUGUGAAGAAGGUCUUCGGAUUGUAAAGCACUUUAAGUUGGGAGGAAGGGCAGUAAGUUAAUACCUUGCUGUUUUGACGUUACCGACAGAAUAAGCACCGGCUAACUUCGUGCCAGCAGCCGCGGUAAUACGAAGGGUGCAAGCGUUAAUCGGAAUUACUGGGCGUAAAGCGCGCGUAGGUGGUUUUGUAAGUUGGAGGUGAAAUCCCCGGGCUCAACCUGGGAACUGCCUCCAAAACUGCAUGACUAGAGUACGGUAGAGGGUAGUGGAAUUUCCUGUGUAGCGGUGAAAUGCGUAGAUAUAGGAAGGAACACCAGUGGCGAAGGCGACUACCUGGACUGAUACUGACACUGAGGUGCGAAAGCGUGGGGAGCAAACAGGAUUAGAAACCCUAGUAGUCC
Molecule: ribosomal RNA, 450 nt
Filed under: uncultured bacterium
Lineage: Bacteria
Description: bacterial SSU rRNA
Rfam family: Bacterial small subunit ribosomal RNA
Source: RNAcentral